CCACAUGGAGCUCCGUCCUCUACAUAACCUAAAUCUGUAUCAUCAUCUAAAAGAACAUGAGCACCACUAGAAGAAAUAAGUUUUAAGCCAUUGACACUCCUAUGCUCCUGUGGGAACACCAAGAUCUGCUAUUCAGAACCUGAAAUUCAGUUUUCCAUUGAACAGACCUGGUUAUUUGACCUGCAGCUGAAUUCUACCACUUGAAUCCUUAACAGCACUGGCAGACAAUAUCUCAGUUGUAGGAUUUCUCCUCUGACUUUUGUACAGAUACAAUUAAAUCAGGUACAUGUAAUGGUAAUGCAGUGAUCAAAAACCAGAGUAUAAAUAUUGGACCUAGAAAACAGGGAGCCAUAAGGCAGAUAUUAGCAGCAAAAUAAGGUAAGUUACACUUAACAGUAACUAAUUAUUUUUUUUUAAAUUAUCUAACAAAAAGAAAAAUUCUUCUGUGGACUUUCAUGCAUUGCAUACUGAGCAAACACACUGCCAGAGUACAAUUCUUUUUCAUUCUCUACUACAGUAAGUCAUUUGAGUGAAAUAUUUUUUGCCACUUACCAUAUUCAAAGAUUUCAUGAGAUAUUAUCAAAAGACUUUAAUGAUACUAAAAAAGGUGUGAGCAGAUUGACAUAACAGGCACUGGUAUUUUGAAAUUUCAAGCAUCUUUUGGUCUGGAAAAUUUUAGUCCAUCACAUAUUAUAAUAUAAUAUUCAAGAGUAGUAACUAGU
Non-coding RNA from Meleagris gallopavo (turkey), 722 nucleotides. NCBI's taxonomy places the organism in Eukaryota, Metazoa, Chordata, Aves, Galliformes, Phasianidae. The record is from RefSeq and is a predicted model, not a curated record.